AUGGAAGAGGACAUCAUCGACAAGUUCUUCUACCAACACCCUGAGCAUCCGACACUCCUGCAGGCCGAGCAGCCCUUCGCUGAGAUCCUCUCAGCCUCCGUCAUCACCACAGCUGGUGCCCAUGGGUCCUCCGCUUUAAUUCCAAGUCAAGGCAACAACACGGGCAUCAUGGCUUCUGGGUUCUUGUCCAGCGAGGUACAUAGCCCACCCUUGAUCUUGAAUGGCAGAGUCACAGCGGAGGAGCCCAGCAGCGGCGUCACCAUGGGUGACCUGUCGAGCAUGGCUUUCUUCAAAGGCAUGGAGGAGGCCAACAGCUUCUUGCCCACAGUCAAUGUGAUGGUGGAUGCUAGGGGGCGUAAGAAGAGGUCUGGCAUGGAUGGCGAGACGGAGGCGUGCAUGGGCAGGAGCAGCAAGCAAAUAGCGGUGCGGGUGCUGGCGCAUAAUGACUCGGCGGAGGAAGACACCGCACUUGAGCUGGACCUGCUCAUCCUCAACGGCUACAACAUGCACUCCAAUGAGACGAUGAAGGCACGUGAGCGAGGUGACGAGGCGGAGCAGCAGUGCAUCUCCACCAAGGCGCCGCGUGGGAGGCGCGGCGCGAGGCUGGUGGUGGUGGACGACCUGGAGACACUGCUGAUCCGUUGCGCGGAGGCAGUGGCCACUAACGAUCAGCGCAGCGCGUGCGAGCUGCUGUGGCGGGUCAAGCGGCACUCCUCCCCAACAGGAGACGCCACACAGCGACUGGCGCAUUACUUCGCUGAGGGUCUAGAGGCACGGCUGGCUGGCAGAGGGAGCCAGCUUUACCGAUCGCUAAUGGUGAAGCGCACCCCCGUCGUCGAGGUCCUCAAGGCCUACAAGCUCUUCAUGUCCGCCUGCUGCUUCAUGAAGGUGUGUUUCCUCUUCUCCAACAAGACCAUCUACAAUGCCGUCAUGGGGAGACAUAAGCUGCACAUUGUGCACUAUGGUGUCAAUGACGGGUUCCAGUGGCCAGACUUGCUCCGGUGCCUAGCAGAAAGGGAGGGCGGCCCUCCGAAGGUGAGGAUCACCAGCAUUACCAGCCUCUGGCCAGGAUUCCGUCCUGCCGAGCAAACUCACGAUACAGGACAACGGCUCCGCCGCUGCGCAAAGCAGUUUGGCGUGCCAUUCGAGUUCCGCGUCAUCGAAGUCAAGGCAGAGGAUGUCCGGGUAGAGGAUCUCAACAUCAAUCCCGAUGAGGUUCUUGUCGUGAACAGCCUAAUCCAUUUUAGGUCCCUGAUGGACGAAAGUGUUGUCAUCGACAGGCUAAACCCCAGGGACAUUGUGCUCAACACUAUCAGAAAGAUGAAGCCAGCCGUGUUCGUCCACGCCAUCGUGAACGCGUCAUACAACACGACAUUUUUCGUGACACGGUUCCGCCAGGUGCUCCACAACUUCGCAGCACACUUUGAUGUGAUGGAAGCCACGGUGCCACGAGACAAUGAUGAGAGGCUGCUGGUGGAGCGGGACAUCAUCGCACGAUGUGCCAUGAACAUCAUCGCCUGUGAGGGGACAGACCGGGUGGAGCGCCCUCAAAACUACAGGGAGUGGCAGGCGCGGAACCAGCGAGCAGGGCUCAGACAGUUGGCACUGGACCCAGACCUUGUUCAGUUUUUGAAGGACAUGGUGAAGAAGCAGUACCACAAGCAUUUCGUGAUCAACGAGGAUCACCAAUGGCUUUUGCAGGGAUGGAAAGGACGCGUGCUCUACGCCAUCUCCACAUGGGUAUCUGACGAUGCUAGCAGCACUCAAGUGACAUAG
RNAcentral lists this ribosomal RNA (1776 nucleotides) under Triticum aestivum (bread wheat). Its description in RNAcentral is "partial small subunit ribosomal RNA". Lineage: Eukaryota; Viridiplantae; Streptophyta; Magnoliopsida; Poales; Poaceae. The record is from RNAcentral.